RNAcentral lists this ribosomal RNA (322 nucleotides) under uncultured Chloroflexota bacterium. Its description in RNAcentral is "bacterial SSU rRNA". It matches the Rfam family "Bacterial small subunit ribosomal RNA", at positions 28 to 351 of the family's 1533-position model. Lineage: Bacteria; Bacillati; Chloroflexota. The record is from RNAcentral.
GAUGAACGCUGGCGGCGUGCCUAACACAUGCAAGUCGAACGUUAGAGUGUAGCAAUAUGCUCAAAAGUGGCGAACGGGUGAGUAACACGUAGGUAACCUGCCGCGCAGAGGGGGAUAACGACUGGAAACGGUCGCUAAUACCGCAUGGUACCAUGGGAAGGGGACUUUUCAUGGUUAAAACCUUGGUGCUGCGCGAGGGGCCUGCGUCCGAUUAGUUAGUUGGUGAGGUAACGGCUCACCAAGACGAUGAUCGGUAGCUGGUCUGAGAGGAUGAUCAGUCACACGGGAACUGAGACACGGUCCCGACUCCUACGGGUGGCAG